This 594-nucleotide ribosomal RNA is filed under the name Rhantus kini. RNAcentral's name for it is "SSU rRNA". It matches the Rfam family "Eukaryotic small subunit ribosomal RNA", at positions 25 to 595 of the family's 1831-position model. The record is from RNAcentral. Lineage: Eukaryota; Metazoa; Arthropoda; Insecta; Coleoptera; Dytiscidae.
CAUAUGCUUGUCUCAAAGAUUAAGCCAUGCAUGUCUCAGUACAAGCCGCAUUAAGGUGAAACCGCGAAAGGCUCAUUAAAUCAGUUAUGGUUCCUUAGAUCGUACCCACAUUUACUUGGAUAACUGUGGUAAUUCUAGAGCUAAUACAUGCAAACAGAGUUCCGACCGGAGACGGGAGGAACGCUUUUAUUAGAUCAAAACCAAUCGGCGGCGGGCCUCGGUCCGUUCGCCGCUCAAUCUGGUGACUCUGAAUAACUUUCGGCCGAUCGCACGGUCUCGCACCGGCGACGCAUCUUUCAAAUGUCUGCCUUAUCAACUGUCGAUGGUAGGUUCUGCGCCUACCAUGGUCGUAACGGGUAACGGGGAAUCAGGGUUCGAUUCCGGAGAGGGAGCCUGAGAAACGGCUACCACAUCCAAGGAAGGCAGCAGGCGCGCAAAUUACCCACUCCCGGCACGGGGAGGUAGUGACGAAAAAUAACGAUACGGGACUCAUCCGAGGCCCCGUAAUCGGAAUGAGUACACUUUAAAUCCUUUAACGAGGAUCAAUUGGAGGGCAAGUCUGGUGCCAGCAGCCGCGGUAAUUCCAGCUCCAAU